CUAAGAUUGUUUGUCAUUUUGCUUUGUAUUUAUCUCUUUUCCCUAUGUUUGCAUAAAGUAGAUGCAGACUACAAUUUGGCGGUGAAUUCUAUGAAUACUAAUCUUAGGCUACCCUUGACCCCGAGGUCAGCUAAAGAUCAAAAACAAACCAUUUAAUAUUUUCCUUUUGCAGAUCAAUAGAAGCAUAAAUUCACUCUCAAUGACAACCAUAAUUUCAAACAGAUCUAUAAGAGGCAUGCAUGCAUUUCCAGGAGGAGCCACUCGCGCCUGUUGGGGAGCACAAGAAAAAGAGUUUCUGUGUUGUUGUGCGGUUGGUUUGUUGGUUUUGUGUGUGUGUGUGUGUUGUUUUUUUACCAUUGAAUCUCUUUUGCCCUUUUUUUUUUUUAUUGCUCUGAAAUGCUAUUUUCAGCAGCUGCUGUCAUAUAAAUAUCUCUUGUUUUUCUUCUCCUCUUUCCCUCCUGGUGAAAAGGGCAGGGGACCUAUUGAAAAUUCUGCUUUAUCUCUUUCAGGAGAGUUCAAGUGCGGGUCGAACAAUCGAUUCCUCCUCCUUUUCUUUUUUAAGUUUCCUGUCGUUCUUUUGCCCAGAUCAGCACUGAAGGAAAAUAGGAAGGGCAGCCUGGAGUGUGCACGUCUGUACAGCCAGAGACAGAACGCACGGCUGCGUCUGUGUGAGCACACGCAGGAUUUCAUACUUACACAAACACGUACACACACACACACACACACACACACGUAUGUUUGGUCCUGCCUGUCUGUGUGCACCAAACACUGCGGCGUUCUUACAGGACACGUAUUUCAGAGACGGGAAUAAAGCUGGGAAGUGGGAAAAGUUUGGAAGCACUGCUCGGUUCCAAGCCGGACUAUUAACCCUUCCCAACAUUCUCCCCCAGGAACUGCAAAAGCUUUGAAGGAAAUGCUGUAAGAUCCCAGACAGUUCCUACAAUUUUCCACGUGGGGAGAAAGGAGGGUUAUUCUGCGAGCAGCAUUGUUCCAGCACCAUAAAUUCAGCUGAUUAUCCACAAUCCUUACGGCUGCGUUUAGUCUCAUAAAGGGAGGAGAAAUAAUUCUUCAAUGUGGGACACAUCUGGUAGCCAAAGAUGCAAAAGGCUGAGGGUGGAAAUGCAAAAUUAUAUUGGAAAAAACCCCCAACAAUAACGUAACCCCCCAAAACAAAACAGAAG
Long non-coding RNA from Gallus gallus (chicken), 1181 nucleotides. The record is from Ensembl. NCBI's taxonomy places the organism in Eukaryota, Metazoa, Chordata, Aves, Galliformes, Phasianidae.